UACGGGGGGAGCAAGCGUUGUUCGGAUUUACUGGGCGUAAAGGGCGCGUAGGCGGUCAGCACAAGUCAGUUGUGAAAUCUCCGGGCUUAACUCGGAAAGGUCAACUGAUACUGUGCGACUAGAGUGCGGAAGGGGCAACUGGAAUUCUCGGUGUAGCGGUGAAAUGCGUAGAGAUCGGGAAGAACAUCGGUGGCGAAAGCGCUCUACUGGACCGCAACUGACACCCAGGGACGAAAGCUAGGGGAGCGAAUGGG
Molecule: ribosomal RNA, 254 nt
Filed under: uncultured bacterium
Lineage: Bacteria
Description: partial 16S ribosomal RNA
Rfam family: Bacterial small subunit ribosomal RNA
Source: RNAcentral